GCUGGCGGCACGCCUUAUACAUGCAAGUCGAACGAAGUAGCAAUACUUAGUGGCAGACGGGUGAGUAACAUGUAGGUAUCUACCCUUUGGUGAGGAAUAACACGAGGAAACUUGUGCUAAUACCUCAUAAGUCUUUACGGAGAAAGCUUUAUGCGCCGAAGGAUGAGCCUGCACUUGAUUAGUUUGUUGGUGGGGUAAUGGCCUACCAAGACUUUGAUCUAUAGCUGAUCUGAGAGGAUGAUCAGCCACAUUGGGACUGAGACACGGCCCAAACUCCUACGGGAGGCAGCAGUAGGGAAUAUUGCACAAUGGAGGAAACUCUGAUGCAGCGAUGCCGCGUGAGUGAAGAAGGCCUUUGGGUUGUAAAGCUCUUUCGUCGGGGAAGAAAAUGACUGUACCCGAAUAAGAAGGUCCGGCUAACUUCGUGCCAGCAGCCGCGGUAAUACGAAGGGACCUAGCGUAGUUCGGAAUUACUGGGCUUAAAGAGUUCGUAGGUGGUUAAAAAAGUUGGUGGUGAAAUCCCAGAGCUUAACUCUGGAACUGCCAUCAAAACUUUUUAGCUAGAGUAUGAUAGAGGAAAGCAGAAUUUCUAGUGUAGAGGUGAAAUUCGUAGAUAUUAGAAAGAAUACCAAUUGCGAAGGCAGCUUUCUGGAUCAUUACUGACGCUGAGGAACGAAAGCAUGGGUAGCGAAGAGGAUUAGAUACCCUCGUAGUCCAUGCCGUAAACGAUGUGUGUUAGACGUUGGAAAUUUAUUUUCAGUGUCGCAGCGAAAGCGUUAAACACACCGCCUGGGGAGUACGACC
RNAcentral lists this ribosomal RNA (804 nucleotides) under uncultured Pelagibacteraceae bacterium. RNAcentral's name for it is "bacterial SSU rRNA". It matches the Rfam family "Bacterial small subunit ribosomal RNA", at positions 35 to 887 of the family's 1533-position model. Lineage: Bacteria; Pseudomonadati; Pseudomonadota; Alphaproteobacteria; Candidatus Pelagibacterales; Candidatus Pelagibacteraceae. The record is from RNAcentral.